ACGAACGCUGGCGGCGUGCUUAACACAUGCAAGUCGAACGAUGAAGAAAAGAAUUGAAGCUUCGGCAGAAAUUCAUUUCGGAUUAGUGGCAGACGGGUGAGUAACGCGUGAGCAACCUACCUCUUACAAAGGGAUAGCCUCGGGAAACCGGGAUUAAUACCAUAUAACAUUGCGACGAGGCAUUUCGAUGCAAUCAAAGCUACGGCGGUAAGAGAUGGGCUCGCGUCCCAUUAACCAGAUGGUGAGGUAACGGCUCACCAUAGCAACGAUGGGUAACCGGCCUGAGAGGGUGAACGGUCACACUGGAACUGAGACACGGUCCAGACUCCUACGGGAAGCAGCAGUGGGGAAUAUUGCACAAUGGAGGGAACUCUGAUGCAGCGACGCCGCGUGAGUGAUGAAGGAAUUCGUUUCGUAAAACUCUGUUCUAUGGGAAGAAAAGGACUGUACCAUAGGAGAAAGCUCCGGCUAAAUACGUG
Molecule: ribosomal RNA, 479 nt
Filed under: uncultured bacterium
Lineage: Bacteria
Description: partial 16S ribosomal RNA
Rfam family: Bacterial small subunit ribosomal RNA
Source: RNAcentral